Molecule: ribosomal RNA, 468 nt
Filed under: uncultured bacterium
Lineage: Bacteria
Description: partial 16S ribosomal RNA
Rfam family: Bacterial small subunit ribosomal RNA
Source: RNAcentral
GACGAACGCUGGCGGCGUGCUUAACACAUGCAAGUCGAACGGAAAGGCCCUGCUUUUGUGGGGUGCUCGAGUGGCGAACGGGUGAGUAACACGUGAGUAACCUGCCCUUGACUUUGGGAUAACUUCAGGAAACUGGGGCUAAUACCGGAUAGGAGCUCCUGCUGCAUGGUGGGGGUUGGAAAGUUUCGGCGGUUGGGGAUGGACUCGCGGCUUAUCAGCUUGCUGGUGGGGUAGUGGCUUACCAAGGCUUUGACGGGUAGCCGGCCUGAGAGGGUGACCGGCCACAUUGGGACUGAGAUACGGCCCAGACUCCUACGGGAGGCAGCAGUGGGGAAUAUUGCACAAUGGGCGGAAGCCUGAUGCAGCAACGCCGCGUGCGGGAUGACGGCCUUCGGGUUGUAAACCACUUUCGCCUGUGACGAAGCGUGAGUGACGGUAAUGGGUAAAGAAGCACCGGCUAACUACGUG